AUAGUACCAAGGAAGACUCCCAUCAAGGACCAGAAAGCAAUAUCUCUCAUCAUCUAACAUCAAGGCAGCUGACAGCUGGCCCCUGCCUGUCUUAUCUUUCCAACUCAAUAGCAGACAAGACCUUCCUCAGAGAGACUUGGGGAUGAGGAGUGAACACAACAUUUUGCAAAACAGCACAAAGCAGGGGUGACAUCCAGGAAAUGUCCUUCUGGGUGGAGUCCCUGGGAUAAACAUUGCUGCCUUCUGACUCUAGUUAGAAAUGCAACCUGAAAGAGCACUGAAAGAUCCUGCAGAAAAUGGUAAGGAGGAAGGGGUCUUCCCAUUGUUCUUCAUUUGUCCUUC
Molecule: long non-coding RNA, 342 nt
Filed under: Gopherus agassizii (Agassiz's desert tortoise)
Lineage: Eukaryota; Metazoa; Chordata; Testudines; Testudinidae
Description: lncRNA (ENSGAGG00000022673.1)
Source: RNAcentral